AGUGGGCAUUUCUGACGUCACACUGCUGAGACCGGCUCUUCUGCUCUUCUGGAGAACAUCAUUGGGGGCCCACCUAGCUCAGGCUUCCCCUCACUCUGGAUCAAAGGAGAGAGGAUUAUGACAGCUCCGUAAGACUUAGAUUCACAGCAUACCUUAGGCAUCCUCCCAAAUUUAUUGUUACCCUUGGAGGACUAACGCUGUGGCACAGCUCACAGGACUCCUGGGCUCUGUUACUCAGGAGAGUCAAGAGAAACAAAGGAAGUGAGUCUCAGAAGCUGCGUCAUGUGCCCCAGGACAAGCAGCUGGAAGACUUCAAGCUCGGAUUUGCCCUCUGCAGGUGAAGCCCAUGUCAGGUCUCUGUUUACAGACCCUCUGGCUACCGCAGGCCAUUCAACAGCUGCUUUGUCUAUUAGAGCAUAAGAAGACAACCUUUGGAUAAUUAAAUAAAAUUUUAAAA
This is a long non-coding RNA of Mastomys coucha (southern multimammate mouse), 457 nucleotides long. RefSeq lists it as uncharacterized. NCBI's taxonomy places the organism in Eukaryota, Metazoa, Chordata, Mammalia, Rodentia, Muridae. The transcript is spliced from 3 exons. The record is from RefSeq and is a predicted model, not a curated record.